RNAcentral lists this ribosomal RNA (1026 nucleotides) under Salmonella enterica subsp. enterica serovar Derby. Its description in RNAcentral is "partial 23S ribosomal RNA". It matches the Rfam family "Bacterial large subunit ribosomal RNA", at positions 711 to 1735 of the family's 2925-position model. RNAcentral also lists the same sequence under 1 other name. The record is from RNAcentral. Lineage: Bacteria; Pseudomonadati; Pseudomonadota; Gammaproteobacteria; Enterobacterales; Enterobacteriaceae.
AGACCCGAAACCCGGUGAUCUAGCCAUGGGCAGGUUGAAGGUUGGGUAACACUAACUGGAGGACCGAACCGACUAAUGUUGAAAAAUUAGCGGAUGACCUGUGGCUGGGGGUGAAAGGCCAAUCAAACCGGGAGAUAGCUGGUUCUCCCCGAAAGCUAUUUAGGUAGCGCCUCGUGAAUUCAUCUCCGGGGGUAGAGCACUGUUUCGGCUAGGGGGCCAUCCCGGCUUACCAACCCGAUGCAAACUGCGAAUACCGGAGAAUGUUAUCACGGGAGACACACGGCGGGUGCUAACGUCCGUCGUGAAGAGGGAAACAACCCAGACCGCCAGCUAAGGUCCCAAAGUCAUGGUUAAGUGGGAAACGAUGUGGGAAGGCCCAGACAGCCAGGAUGUUGGCUUAGAAGCAGCCAUCAUUUAAAGAAAGCGUAAUAGCUCACUGGUCGAGUCGGCCUGCGCGGAAGAUGUAACGGGGCUAAACCAUGCACCGAAGCUGCGGCAGCGACACUGUGUGUUGUUGGGUAGGGGAGCGUUCUGUAAGCCUGCGAAGGUGGCCUGUGAGGGUUGCUGGAGGUAUCAGAAGUGCGAAUGCUGACAUAAGUAACGAUAAAGCGGGUGAAAAGCCCGCUCGCCGGAAGACCAAGGGUUCCUGUCCAACGUUAAUCGGGGCAGGGUGAGUCGACCCCUAAGGCGAGGCCGAAAGGCGUAGUCGAUGGGAAACGGGUUAAUAUUCCCGUACUUGGUGUUACUGCGAAGGGGGGACGGAGAAGGCUAUGUUGGCCGGGCGACGGUUGUCCCGGUUUAAGCGUGUAGGUGUGUGUUCCAGGUAAAUCCGGUUCACUUUAACACUGAGGCGUGAUGACGAGGCACUACGGUGCUGAAGCAACAAAUGCCCUGCUUCCAGGAAAAGCCUCUAAGCAUCAGGUAACAUCAAAUCGUACCCCAAACCGACACAGGUGGUCAGGUAGAGAAUACCAAGGCGCUUGAGAGAACUCGGGUGAAGGAACUAGGCAAAAUGGUGCCGUAACU